AACGAAUGCUGGCGGCAGGCUUAACACAUGCAAGUCGAACGAACUCUUCGGAGUGAGUGGCAGACGGGUUAGUAACACGUGGGAACCUACCCUUUAGUACGGAAUAACGUCGAGAAAUUGACGCUAAUACCGUAUACGCCCUUCGGGGGAAAGAUUUAUCGCUAAAGGAUGGGCCCGCGGCUGAUUAGGUAGAUGGUGGGGUAAUGGCCUACCAUGCCGACGAUCAGUAGCUGGUUUGAGAGGAUGAUCAGCAACACUGGAACUGAGACACGGUCCAGACUCCUACGGGAGGCAGCAGUGGGGAAUAUUGGACAAUGGGCGCAAGCCUGAUCCAGCCAUGCCGCGUGAGUGAUGAAGGCCUUAGGGUUGUAAAACUCUUUCGAUGGUGAAGAUAAUGACGGUAACCAUUAAAGAAGCCCCGGCUAAUUUCGUGCCAGCCGCCGCGGUAACAC
Molecule: ribosomal RNA, 452 nt
Filed under: uncultured bacterium
Lineage: Bacteria
Description: bacterial SSU rRNA
Rfam family: Bacterial small subunit ribosomal RNA
Source: RNAcentral